CUACGGGUGGCUCCAGUGGGGAAUAUUGCACAAUGGGCGCAAGCCUGAUGCAGCCAUGCCGCGUGUAUGAAGAAGGCCUUCGGGUCGUAAAGUACUUUCAGCGGGGAGGAAGGGAGUAAAGUUAAUACCUUUGCUCAUUGACGUUACCCGCAGAAGAAGCACCGGCUAACUCCGUGCCAGCAGCCGCGGUAAUACGGAGGGCGCAAGCGUUAAUCGGAAUUACUGGGCGUAAAGCGCACGCAGGCGGUUUGUUAAGUCAGAUGUGAAAUCCCCGGGCUCAACCUGGGAACUGCAUCUGAUACUGGCAAGCUUGAGUCUCGUAGAGGGGGGUAGAAUUCCAGGUGUAGCGGUGAAAUGCGUAGAGAUCUGGAGGAAUACCGGUGGCGAAGGCGGCCCCCUGGACGAAGACUGACGCUCAGGUGCGAAAGCGUGGGGAGCAAACAGGAUUAGAUACCCUCGUAGUC
RNAcentral lists this ribosomal RNA (464 nucleotides) under uncultured bacterium. RNAcentral describes it as "partial 16S ribosomal RNA". It matches the Rfam family "Bacterial small subunit ribosomal RNA", at positions 339 to 795 of the family's 1533-position model. The record is from RNAcentral.